Rosa rugosa (rugosa rose) is the source of this 6955-nucleotide long non-coding RNA. RefSeq lists it as uncharacterized. The record is from RefSeq and is a predicted model, not a curated record. The transcript is spliced from 5 exons. Lineage: Eukaryota; Viridiplantae; Streptophyta; Magnoliopsida; Rosales; Rosaceae.
CCCGAAAAAUUCAAAUUAACGUCCGAUGUCAUUUUGGAAAUGAUUUCGUAGGCGUGGGCACGAAUACGAAGCUUGAAGGAGUUGUGGAAUUAGUUCGAACGAUUUUAUUUCGAAAACGAACGUUAUUUAGGGGGUCUUAAAAAGUGACUUCUUAUACGUACAGAAUUUGGGAAAACUUUCUUCAUGAAAGUUGUAGAGCUCGUCGAUACGAUCUCGUGCGUAUGUUGAACGCAAUAUUCGGAGUUUGUAUGAAUAAGUUAUGAAUAUUUGAAAAUCGGGAUUUUUUUUCUAUAAAUAUGGAGAAUUUCUGGAAUUUUUCUUAAAUCCCAAAAUUUCCUAUUCUUUCUAUUUUCUCCCCCGGUUUUCUCUCUUCUCUCUCCUCUCCCCCGACCUUUUUCUCUUCUUUCUGGGCGUUCUUCCUCUGCCAGCAGCGCCACCGUCCGGCCACCUCAAGCCGCUCUCGAGGUGUCCACGGCUUCGCCUCGACGUCGUCUAGCUACUGGACGUGACCACUUUCCCCGGAACGGCCUCAAAUCCGGCAAACCGGAGCUGCAAGGUUUGAGCCAAAAACAGUCAACGCCGGUUUUCUCCUAAUUCCGGCCACCAAAACUCACGAUCCUUAGCUCCCUGAACUCACCUCAACAUGCUGAUCAUCAUCCUAGAAGGAUCGCACCUGGAGUGACCGGAUUCACGUUCGUCGGAGCUCGGCCGGCUUUAAUUCGAAAACCACCUUCGAAUCUGAUUUUCUCGAGUUAUAGACCACCUUUUCUUGUGAUUCUUGGCCUGGUGAGUUCACCUUGAGAUUAUUAACAACUCUCAAGAAGGGAUCGAGGCCUGAGGUUGAAGUUUUUACGUCGGAAUUCAAGCUCGCCGGAUUCUGGAAAAUUUCCGACCACGAAGACUUUCGAUCAAGAUAUCGCGAGCUGUAGUGCAUCGUUUUGAUUGAUUCUUUUUCCAGUAGGUUCCCCUUGAUGUUGUUAACAACUCUCUAGAAGGCAUCGAGGCCUGAAAUUGAAUCUUUGACGUCGAAAUCGAGCCUUGCCGGAUUCUGCAAAAUUCUGGAAUUUUUCCGACCACCGAAGCUUUCGAUCGGUAUAUCUCGAGCUACAGACCAUAUUUUUCUGUGAUUCUUGAACCAGUGAGUUCUUCUUGAGUUUCUUAACAACUCUUCAGAAGGAAUCGAAGCCUUAAAUUGACGUUUUUACGUCGAAUUGGAGCUCGCCGUUUUCUGCAGUUUCUCGCCGGUUUCUGGAAAAAUUCCGGCCACCUUCAUACUGUUCAAGGUGAUUGACGGUUUGAGUUGGCGGACGAUUGUGAAUCGUAUUUUGAGCUGUUAAGAAGACGCAGCGGGAUUAGAGCGGGUAAUCCUACAGGUCAGGAGAACCAGGACGGUGAUCGGGCUGCUUAGAGUAGUGUUAUGUGAAUUACAACAUUAUAUUGUGAGGUUUGUUAUGCUCAUUUAGAGCUUUACGAUUUUACUUUGUAAGAGUGAAUUGUAAUAAUUAACUCGAGGUUUUUCGAGUUUUGUGUUGAGUGGCGAGUGGUGUGUUUGUUUCUGAGAAAAAAAAAAAAAUUCAGAACGUUAUUUGUAUUAAUUGUUUAUUCAUGUUUCGGAUUUGAAUUUAUUAUUCAAAAUUCGGGGCGUGACAGUUUGGUAUCAGAGCGUAAGGUGCAUAUUUGGUGAUGUGUCAAUACUUUCCGAGUGAUGGCCCGUCUGCAGCGGAUCCCCAUCGUGUGCUCUUCGGUAUUGGCUAAGUCAUUGGGUAUGCGUGAGUGUUGGGAGUUGUUUAGGCCGCUAGGUCGUUUUAGGAACGUGAAUACCUUCCCUGUAGUAUUGACUUGGCUAAUAUGGACUUGUAUUUGACUCAUGCCAUGUUUUAAGUGCUAUACGUGUAUUAGCCAAGCAUACUAUACUUCUUAGGUGAUGGAUAUUCGAAAGGGGUAGUACAUUGAACCUUAAAGUUGUUUUGGAAGUUCGUAUUAGAAUGAGUUCAGUUGCCGCGAGUUAUAAUCUUUAAGGAAUGGAAACCUUCGGAUUUAACUCUGUUGAGUCAGUGAGAAUUGUUUUAUGGAAAUGAGGUUCUUUUGAUUGUUGAAGUGUUUGGUUGAAGGCAUGGUGUGGACCUAUGCACGUACCUAGUGUGGAUACGAGUAUUAAUGGAUAGAAAGUUUGCCUUCUUAAGUUGGACGUACAUAUGUUUUUGGAUGAGAUGUACAUGUCAAAUAAUAGAUAUCUUGUUUUGUAACGAGAUGUCUUAGUGGGGUUUUGGUAAUUGGCAUGGGUGAUGUGUUUAAAGUGGCUUUGAGGUAACUAUACUAAUCUUGUGUGAGAUUGAGUUAUUAGUAUAAAUUGAGAAUAUAUGAGCAGUUGGAAUGAGAAUUGAUCUCACUAACUCAAGAUGAUAGGAGUGUGAGAGAUUAUGGGGUAGAAUUCUCAAGACUAUAUUGAUUUUUGAGUGUAGUGAUGUAAUUUGGGAGAUACUUAGGUUACCUAUAAGGAGGGUAGUAGAGUUUAUUAUCGAUGUGAGGAAAAGUAUGGUACCUGUAGCAAUAGCAUCUAUGGUGUGUGCUGGAGAUUCUAAGAAAAGAAAAGUUGUAUGCAAAGCUUGGGAAGUGUUUAGCUUUAUUAUUCCUUGAUUUUAGCUAGACCUUUGUGUGACUUGAUUUACAGUUGCGUUUUGAGAGUGAUUAUUGGGGAUAUAUCUCUAUGAUAGAUUUUGUGUAUGGUUUGACAUAUGGAAAAAUUUAUACGACCUUGUGAUAGGGUUGAUUGUGAAGAGACAUUGUGUCGACAUAUGAGCUGAGGUGAUAAUGUUGUUUUGCAACCCUAGGGGUGCUAGUGUUGUAUUAUCAAUGCAUUGGAACAGAUGUUGUGAGAAUAGGAUUUUGAACGGGGGUAUAGUUAGGGUGAGAUAUUAGGUGCUUUACCAGUAUUGAUUGGUGAAUCAAGAUAUGUCUUACGUAAGGUUGGAGACUAAUCUAGAAAACUUCAAGGAAUUACUAGAAGUACGAGUGCAGCAGAGCUGGCUAAUUUUUAAAGAGCAAUGGGUGACCAAGGUUCGAUUCUUGGUGGCGUUGUUGGUUGUUUUUAAAGAAAAGACUACCACAUACAUUCAGUCUUAUUACAAGUCAAAAGCAAAAUAAAGUUAUUGUACAACGAAAGUUAAAAUGCAGAAAAAGAAAUACAAUAACUAAAAGAUGAAUUGUUUUUACUUCUUCCCCUUUGAUUGGGAAAGCUCAGCAAUCUCCUCCCUGAGUUUGGUGACUUGAUCAUCGACCUCUUCACUGUCCUGCGAGUCACUACUGGUUGAGUCAAGAUCUUCCCAAGGAACAUGAGGAGCGGUGCGCGGACGAGUGGCAGCCCUUUUGCUGGUUUCAGCCGCAGGAGGAGGGUCCUUGUGGAGUGACGCAACAACUUCCUUGCAAGGAAACCCAGGAGGAUGACACUGCAUGUUAUUGACCUCCUGAGCAAGCUUGUUCAUUGCGGUGUGGCAACGGAUCAAAGAGAGGUUCAUGUCAGUGAUGUAAUCGAUCAUACAUGUGACUCGCCAAUCCGUCACCAUAAUACCAUCACGGAGGGAGGAACGCAGUGCAUCAAUUGAGUCUGACAAGCUUUCCAGGGUGGCCACAGGCCGAGGAGCACGAGCAGCUAGGGAGGAAGAGGACUCGCUGGGAUAUAGUCUGGGAGAACGACGAGGCAGAGGAGGGGGACUGCGGCUACGCUCACGUAUAGGACGAUGGUCUCCAGGACGAGUGAGGCCAGCGCAAGCGGCCGCUUGACGACCCUCUUCUUCUAAAGAGAGAACACAGCGUUGAUUGACGCUCAUGCGAGCGGUAAUCUUGGUUCGAACCAUGAUGAAGGAGAAGGAAUUUGAAACUGCACGCUUAGACAAAACCGAGUAAAAUCUGGAGGAGAUAAAAGGAGGUUUAUAUAGAGCACAAGAUAGGGUUGAGAAAAUGUGAGAAUGGAAGAAGAGAUUUGAGUUAUCGGAUGGAAGAAGAGAAUUGAGAGAGGAUGGCUAAAACUCUGGGGAAAUUUUCUUUUCUUUGGUGUGAAUAGUCUCAUUCCCCGAAUGCACCUAUUUAUAGAACAAGGUGAGCAGAUCUCCACCGUUGGAUGGACGAUCUCAGAGAUUCAAACUACGCGUUGGAUUAAAGUCGCCCAAAAACACGGAAAAGUUGUGGGCGCGUGGAGAGCGUGUAGGGGGACCGAGCGAAUCUCGAGACGCUGUGGCAGACAGCUUUCGCCGAAAGGGAUCUGCUUUCCGUAAAUCACGAAAGCGACGUGUCGUGGCACGUGGAAUGUACCGACAGUUUGUUUUUAUUCUAUCGCUUAUGAUAGAAUAAAUAAAAGGAGUUGCAUGGAGAAUAACGAGUGCAGCUGGUGCUCUAGUGGUUGAAGAGCAAAGCUCUUGUACAAGAGGUCAGAGGUUCGAACCUUGCCUCUCCCGUUAUUUUAUUUAUGUCGCUUAUGACAUAAUAAAUAUAACACGUGAGCAUAUAUUAAUGAAGGCAGCUCUUGCUUCAGUGGUUGGGAGCAAAACCUUCGUGUUCGAGGUCGGGAGUUCGAACCUUACCUCUUACAAAUAUUUUUGGAUCUCGUAUAUGCUUGAUAUACGGACGUAUAUACGGUAUGUACGGCAUACAUACGUAUAUACGGUCUGUACGGUAUGCAUACGUAUAUACGGUCUGUACGGUAUACAUACUUAUAUACGGUAUGUACAAUUUCAUACCGUAGCCGAGCUGGAAGUUGGUAGGCCCAAAUAGUAAGCCCAAAUAGUAAGCCCAAUUGUUCGGCCCGAUUGGUAAGCCCAAAUGUUAAGCCCAAUUGUUCGGCCCGAAUGGUAGGCCCAAAUGUUAAACCCAAAUUGGUUCGGGCCGGUUCGAAAUGUGGAUGGUUCGGUUUCUUCGGCCCAAUUGGCCAGCCCUAAUGCUUAGCCCAAGGAUUGAGCAAGCCCAAGUCAUCAUCACUGGGUAACAUAUUUUAUUGGCAUGCUUUUGGGGACGAAUUGUUUUGAGUGAUGCAUCUCUAUUGUUGUGUAGAAUGGUGCAUGCUUGAGUUUUACUAUAGAGACUUACCGUGAUGCUAAUUGAGUAGCGAAACACUUUGUGGGAGUGUUUACUGUGCUUGUAUGCCAGUACAAAGUGUUGAUCUAUGUGAGGAUCUAUGAGAUGAUCCAUGUGACGAUUUUGUGUAUGUGAUGUGGAGUGUUGUUGAGCAGUUGUUGUGUGAGUUUACGUUUGUGAUGAAAGGAUUUAGUGGCCAUAGGAAUGUAUUUUUAUACAAAGAGCUGAGGCUCUGUAGAUUACUACAGAUUUGGAAAAGAUGGAGAUUCUAUGGUUAGGUCAACCUUAAUCGAGAGGAAUUGACUUGCGCUUAAAUUUCGGGACGAAAUUUCUUUAAGGAGGGUAGAUUGUAAUACCCGAAAAAUUCAAAUUAACGUCCGAUGUCAUUUUGGAAAUGAUUUCGUAGGCGUGGGCACGAAUACGAAGCUUGAAGGAGUUGUGGAAUUAGUUCGAACGAUUUUAUUUCGAAAACGAACGUUAUUUAGGGGGUCUUAAAAAGUGACUUCUUAUACGUACAGAAUUUGGGAAAACUUUCUUCAUGAAAGUUGUAGAGCUCGUCGAUACGAUCUCGUGCGUAUGUUGAACGCAAUAUUCGGAGUUUGUAUGAAUAAGUUAUGAAUAUUUGAAAAUCGGGAUUUUUUUUCUAUAAAUAUGGAGAAUUUCUGGAAUUUUUCUUAAAUCCCAAAAUUUCCUAUUCUUUCUAUUUUCUCCCCCGGUUUUCUCUCUUCUCUCUCCUCUCCCCCGACCUUUUUCUCUUCUUUCUGGGCGUUCUUCCUCUGCCAGCAGCGCCACCGUCCGGCCACCUCAAGCCGCUCUCGAGGUGUCCACGGCUUCGCCUCGACGUCGUCUAGCUACUGGACGUGACCACUUUCCCCGGAACGGCCUCAAAUCCGGCAAACCGGAGCUGCAAGGUUUGAGCCAAAAACAGUCAACGCCGGUUUUCUCCUAAUUCCGGCCACCAAAACUCACGAUCCUUAGCUCCCUGAACUCACCUCAACAUGCUGAUCAUCAUCCUAGAAGGAUCGCACCUGGAGUGACCGGAUUCACGUUCGUCGGAGCUCGGCCGGCUUUAAUUCGAAAACCACCUUCGAAUCUGAUUUUCUCGAGUUAUAGACCACCUUUUCUUGUGAUUCUUGGCCUGGUGAGUUCACCUUGAGAUUAUUAACAACUCUCAAGAAGGGAUCGAGGCCUGAGGUUGAAGUUUUUACGUCGGAAUUCAAGCUCGCCGGAUUCUGGAAAAUUUCCGACCACGAAGACUUUCGAUCAAGAUAUCGCGAGCUGUAGUGCAUCGUUUUGAUUGAUUCUUUUUCCAGUAGGUUCCCCUUGAUGUUGUUAACAACUCUCUAGAAGGCAUCGAGGCCUGAAAUUGAAUCUUUGACGUCGAAAUCGAGCCUUGCCGGAUUCUGCAAAAUUCUGGAAUUUUUCCGACCACCGAAGCUUUCGAUCGGUAUAUCUCGAGCUACAGACCAUAUUUUUCUGUGAUUCUUGAACCAGUGAGUUCUUCUUGAGUUUCUUAACAACUCUUCAGAAGGAAUCGAAGCCUUAAAUUGACGUUUUUACGUCGAAUUGGAGCUCGCCGUUUUCUGCAGUUUCUCGCCGGUUUCUGGAAAAAUUCCGGCCACCUUCAUACUGUUCAAGGUGAUUGACGGUUUGAGUUGGCGGACGAUUGUGAAUCGUAUUUUGAGCUGUUAAGAAGACGCAGCGGGAUUAGAGCGGGUAAUCCUACAGGUCAGGAGAACCAGGACGGUGAUCGGGCUGCUUAGAGUAGUGUUAUGUGAAUUACAACAUUAUAUUGUGAGGUUUGUUAUGCUCAUUUAGAGCUUUACGAUUUUACUUUGUAAGAGUGAAUUGUAAUAAUUAACUCGAGGUUUUUCGAGUUUUGUGUUGA